AAAAAUGGUACAAAGUGAAAAUCAAAAUAUAACUUGAAAAGCUUAGGAAAAUAUGUAUUCGCAAAUUGUGUGUAUCUCAUUCGUUGGAGUUGCUCUAUCUAGUCUUGUCGAUAAUGAUGCUAGCAUAAUACGAAGAAGAUGCCGGAGAAUAAAAGUAUACUUCGUGGGACCAAAUGAUUGUACAAAGUAAAUAAAACGAAUAAUGAAAAGGAUUCCUUUCAUUUUCUUCCACUAAGAUCGAAUUUCUUGGUUUCUUCCUAAAACUUCGAACUAAGCUGAGAAAUUCCAAUUGAAUAAAGGUAGAUAUAAACAAGAAAUAAAAUCAGUAAAAAUGCUUGUGGUGGUGGUGAUGAUGUCUAUGAUCAUCCCAUCUAAAGCAUUGCAACACAGGAUAACAAGCAACAAACAAGCAUCUCCCCAUCAAUCGGAAGGCGGACGAGACUGACAUACAAGGGCAGCAGCAGCAUGCCAAGAGUGGAUCAUUAUGUGGGCCACCAUCUACAUGGUGGUGGUCGUGGUCGUGAUCGUGCUUCACCAUAUCUAUAAAACCUGAUCAGAACAUGACAGUCAAUAAAAAAUUAGACCCCAAAAUAAAAAAGCAAAAAGAAAAAAUGAAUUCAUUUCUUUAAUAUGGUAUCAAAACUAGAAAAUAUUUAAGGUUUCCGAAGAUUAUUGGCUAUGUUGGGAAGUUGAAUAAAUGAAUCUGACUUGUCCGAAAACAAAACUUACCUUGUUGAAUUCCUGAAGAUCNNNN
RNAcentral lists this long non-coding RNA (754 nucleotides) under Olea europaea (common olive). Its description in RNAcentral is "long non-coding RNA (OEUR_LNC004042)". The record is from RNAcentral. Lineage: Eukaryota; Viridiplantae; Streptophyta; Magnoliopsida; Lamiales; Oleaceae.